Suricata suricatta (meerkat) is the source of this 867-nucleotide long non-coding RNA. RefSeq lists it as uncharacterized. Lineage: Eukaryota; Metazoa; Chordata; Mammalia; Carnivora; Herpestidae. The record is from RefSeq and is a predicted model, not a curated record. The transcript has 3 exons.
CCGUGGGAAACUGAAGCCGCAGAAAGCGGAUCGGCGGAUAAGAGGGGAAUACUGAAUAUAAGACUCUUGAGCUGUAAAGUGGAUUUCAAAAAGUCGAGCAGCAAACAAGUAACCAUCAGCUCCUGACCUCAGCCUCCAUAGACUCAUGUCUGAGACCUGAGGAGGCAAAACCUGAUGGAAGAAUUUUCUUAAGAAGCUCUGUGAGGCUGGAGGUAGGAGCCAUAAUGCCUGGGACCUGGUGAUCAAGUAGGACAACCAGGAGUUUGGAAAGAAAAGGAGACAUUCAAUGGAUAUGUGGAUAGUUCCCAGACCUAACAAUUUAAAACAUUAAACUUCCUUAAAAGCAAAUCCCAGAGUCCUCCUUCAUGCAGAACACCCACUGAAGUCAAGGGGCAUUACGUCCAAGAAGGGACAACAGUGUCAGACUCCAAAUGGAGAGCAUAUUCAGAACUUUCCAGAAAUGUCCUAUACUUGUAGCCAGAGGGCUGUGUUUCAAAGAGGUUGGCCUUACUGAUUUCCUUGGUGGAAGAAAGCUGUUGUCCAGGCUGCAGAGCAGGGAGAGGCACUCUGUCCGUUUCCAAAGCUCUGAAAAUCAGCAAGGAAUAGUGGUUUCCUCACACUGUGUUCCAUUCAGCUGCACUUGAAAAGCCAACUGUCGGAGUGCUGAGCCCAAGCCCAAGUGGACAAGAAUCCUUGCCUCUGUCAUACACUGGCAUUCAGAUAGAUAAGGAAGGAUGUUUGUAAACUACAGGCAACAUCACAGCACCACGUCGAUUAUGAAUGCAUCUUACCAGCACCCACCUCAACAGUAUUAAAAGGCCCUCAAUUCUGACAAGAAGAUACAAUUUUCAAAUACUUGGACGGCUA